RNAcentral lists this ribosomal RNA (313 nucleotides) under uncultured bacterium. RNAcentral describes it as "bacterial SSU rRNA". It matches the Rfam family "Bacterial small subunit ribosomal RNA", at positions 198 to 507 of the family's 1533-position model. The record is from RNAcentral.
UGAUUAAAGAAAUUCGGAAACGGAUAGGCUCGCGUGACAUUAGCUAGAUGGCGGGGUAACGGCCCACCAUGGGCGACGAUGGUCUAGGGGGUCCCUGAGAGGAAGGUCCCCCACACUGGAACUGAGACACGGUCCAGACUCCUACGGGAGGCAGCAGUGAGGAAUAUUGGUCAAUGGGCGCAAGCCUGAACCAGCCAAGUAGCGUGAAGGAUGACUGCCCUAUGGGUUGUAAACUUUCUUUUAUACGGGAACAAACCCCGGUACGUGUACCGGAUUGCGUGUACCGUAUGAAUAAGCAUCGGCUAACUCCGUG